UUGAUAGUAUGUGAAAACUGAAUCUUCUGUUUAUGUACAGAAGAUGGAGAACACAGGGGAAGUGCAAGCUUCCUCAAACUGUCCUGCCAAUGUUCCUCAACCCAACCCUGGAGUGGAUCAUCUCUAGGACUUGCUGAGGGGAAAAGGGAGCUUAGUCUGGGAAGAGCAUUCAGUCCUUGGCCUGU
Molecule: small RNA, 185 nt
Filed under: Chelonoidis abingdonii (Abingdon island giant tortoise)
Lineage: Eukaryota; Metazoa; Chordata; Testudines; Testudinidae
Description: TUC338 (ENSCABG00000012857.1)
Source: RNAcentral